Long non-coding RNA from Magallana angulata, 781 nucleotides. RefSeq lists it as uncharacterized. Lineage: Eukaryota; Metazoa; Mollusca; Bivalvia; Ostreida; Ostreidae. The record is from RefSeq and is a predicted model, not a curated record. The transcript is spliced from 2 exons.
UUACAGAUUUAUUAAUUAUGAAAUUAAUAAAUCUAUAAAUAAAAGUAAUUAAUUUAUUGAUAAUUAAAUUAAUAUAAUUAUGUUUUAAUUAUUGUAGAAAUAAACUUAAAACUUAAUACUAAAGUAUAUAAUAAAAUCUAUAAUAAACUUAAAAUUCUGGUCAUGGUCAAUUGAAUAGAACAGGCAGCUAUCUUGACCAUGGUAUAAAUUGCCUUAGGGUUGUAAUUAAGGUUCUGGCCAAAUAUAUAAUGUAUCUAGGUAUUCAAUUGGUUGUUAGUUUUGUCUUCUUUGAUUUUAUUGGUUGUUGAUAUUUUCCUCCAAAUUCUUGGAGCUGGUUUGUCAUAUUUCUUUGUCACAUCAAAGAGAGUGGAGGUUUUUCGUAAUCUGAAAGCUGACUUUUGAAACGUAACAAACUCUACCUCUUGUUGCCAUACCAGAUAGUACACUGUACAUACCAUAGAGUUGUAAUACUGUACAAGAGCGCAUUCCCAUAGAAUGGUAUGUUUAACUGUGUUUUAUGAUUUAGAAUAAAAUAGUGAUGUCUUUAUCUGUUUAUAGACAUUACAGAUGAAUAUCAUUGUAAACCUAUUUUUAGAUACAUGAAUUAAUACAUAACGUAAUUCAUAGAUGUGUAAUGGAUUAAUGUAAAGAGUUGUUCCCCUUUAGCGCAACUUGCUCCGAUUGUAAUAUUUUUAUGCCGUAUAUUUAUAUUGUUGUUAUUCAUUGUAGGGCUAUUCAUUUGUUUACCAUCUAUAUUAAUAAAUAUUGGAGAUGCCCAGAA